UUUAUGUGGUACUGAGGAAUUGAACUCAGGGCUUCAUGCAUGCUAGGCAAGCACUCUACCACUAAACCACAUUCCUAGUCCCAAAACAUGAUUUGACAGCAAAAAUAUUUCCAGAAAUUUCAAGAGGGACCACUAUUCAGAAUUUUCAAAGUAUUUUCUAGGCACCAGAGGCUCACACCUGUAGCCCUAGCUACUCAGAGGGUGAGAUUUGAGGAUCAUGGUUCACAGCCAGUGUGGGCAAGAAAUGUCUAUGACUUUUACCACCAAUUAACCACACACA
Long non-coding RNA from Perognathus longimembris pacificus (Pacific pocket mouse), 280 nucleotides. RefSeq lists it as uncharacterized. The record is from RefSeq and is a predicted model, not a curated record. Lineage: Eukaryota; Metazoa; Chordata; Mammalia; Rodentia; Heteromyidae. The transcript is spliced from 2 exons.